This 210-nucleotide long non-coding RNA is filed under the name Nicotiana benthamiana. RNAcentral describes it as "long non-coding RNA (NBEN_LNC005816)". The record is from RNAcentral. Lineage: Eukaryota; Viridiplantae; Streptophyta; Magnoliopsida; Solanales; Solanaceae.
UUGUGGGAAAUUACUUGUUCAUAGGUAUACUUGAGAUCGUAGCGGCACGAGUAGUUUAGUUAAGCAUAUAUGAUUACACCCUAGCGAUAAGGCUAGAUAUUUGCAAUUGAAAGCGCAACAAGAGGGGAGUACAAGUGCUGAUUCUACAAUUAACCCAAGUACUGGUUCAAAUCUAGUUCAACCAGGAAUAAACACAGUCACCGGAGGUAU